UGCCCACUCCAGGGUCGGAUUCUGAGCUAGCUGCUUGGUGUUUGCUCACCACCGCGUACCCAGCACCUAGCUCUGCCCCGACCAGGAACUUCGGGACAGCACCCGUGUGAGAGGUUUCCAGGAGGCUCAGAUGAGAUAAAGAACUUGAAGUAACAGCCAGCUGCAGAAGAAUGAUGCAUGUGUGCCUCUGUUCAAGGAGAUGCUGAACAAUCCAUUUCUAACUGAUGAAUCAAUCACAUGCUGUGGUAUCUUCAUUACCUGUUUGAAAAGUUCUCUAGGACCAGGCUGGCUAUCUAAGAGAGAAAGUUAUCCUACUUCGGGGCAAGAAAUUUCUUGGCGUUUGUGGCUGAGGUCUUUAUUUUUCAAGGAGGUGUCCUCAUUUGCUGAAGACAAUUUCUUGGCUCAAAUGAACCAGCUCAACAGUCACCUGCGUUCACUGACAGACUGUUGCUUCCUAAU
Long non-coding RNA from Lontra canadensis (Northern American river otter), 459 nucleotides. RefSeq lists it as uncharacterized. The record is from RefSeq and is a predicted model, not a curated record. The transcript is spliced from 3 exons. Lineage: Eukaryota; Metazoa; Chordata; Mammalia; Carnivora; Mustelidae.